This 346-nucleotide ribosomal RNA is filed under the name uncultured bacterium. Its description in RNAcentral is "bacterial SSU rRNA". It matches the Rfam family "Bacterial small subunit ribosomal RNA", at positions 153 to 507 of the family's 1533-position model. The record is from RNAcentral.
GAAAGGCGGGCUAAUACCGCAUGGUUUCCGAAAGGAAUAAAGCAGCAAUGCGCUCGAGGAUCGGUUCACCUCCCAUUAGCUAGUUGGUGGGUAAUGGCCCACCAAGGCUACGAGUGGGUAGCUGGUCUGAGGAGGAUGGUCAGCCACACUGGAACUGAGAUACGGUCCAGACUCCUACGGGGGGCAGCAGUCUAGAGGCUUCGUCAAUGCCCGAAAGGGUGAACGAGCGACGCCGCGUGCGGGAUGAAGGCUUUCGGGUCGUAAACCGCUUUUGUUUGGGAAGAAUGCCUGUGUCGUGAACAUGGGAGGGACGGUACCAGACGAAUAAGCCUCGGCUAACUCCGUG